Molecule: unclassified non-coding RNA, 242 nt
Filed under: Hevea brasiliensis (rubber tree)
Lineage: Eukaryota; Viridiplantae; Streptophyta; Magnoliopsida; Malpighiales; Euphorbiaceae
Source: RNAcentral
GACGUUUUCCAGCCUCUCCCCUCAACUGAGUCACCAGUUCAUAACACAUGGAGAGACCGGUCGCGCCCGUUGGGUCUCCUUUAGAAACGAGACCUCCAGAAGUGUUAACGGGUAGCGUGCCGCCGAUCUUGGUUGCACCACUUCCAACGAACUGUCCUCCUUCACCGAUCCUGCAAAAACGCAUCAUCUCGCAUUGAUAGAUCUCACUAAAGGAAGUUGCAUCGUGGAUUUCUGCCACGUCC